Molecule: long non-coding RNA, 827 nt
Organism: Homo sapiens (human)
Lineage: Eukaryota; Metazoa; Chordata; Mammalia; Primates; Hominidae
Gene: DST-AS1
Product: DST antisense RNA 1
Exons: 4
Source: RefSeq, marked validated
ACAGGUGCCUGAGAAACAAAGCCGCAGAUCGCUCCACCGCUGUGCGCAGCCCCCUGCUGAGGGGCCAGCGGCUCUCCCUGGGACCCCAGAACCUUAACACAAUUCUGAGGUGGAAGAAAUGGGGAACACCAGGCCUGGCCUCAUGGAGACCGGGGAGUCAGAACCUGAGCUCUGGCUCCUGGAGCUGCUGCGAGUGAGUGGUGGAAACCUGCCCCCUUAGAGAAGCUGCAGCUGAUCAGCAUCAUGCAAGGGACUGCUGAGAUGGUAGCAUGCUGGUAAUGAAGUGUUAUGGAGCCACUCCAUCCUUUAUUCAUCCUUUUCCUCAUACACACAGAGAGCAAAGCACAGGAACCAGCUACAGAAUUUGCAAGUGGAGAAUCCAGGUACCUUUAAAAGUCUAUUUAGUGAAAAUCUCUGGCUAUUGAUGUGACGGUUAAUUUUAUGUGCCAACUUGGCUAGGCCAUGGUACCCAGUUUUUCAUAAAAGAUCAGUCUAGAUGUUGUGAAGGUAUAUUUUUAAAUGUGAUUAACAUUUUAUUCAGUGGACUUCAAGUAAAGCAGAUUAUCCUCCAUAUAGUGGGUGGGCCUUCUCCAAUCAGGCCUUAAGAGCAAAGACCAUGGUUUCUCAAAGAAAGAAUUUUCCUCAAGACUGCAACAUAGAGACCUUGCCUGAGUUUCCAGCCUGAUACCCUGAAGAAUUUGGACUCAAGACUGCAAUAUCAGCUCUUUCCUGAAUUUCUAGCCUGCUGGCCUGCCCUACAGAUUUUAGAUCUCCCAGCCCAAUUGCAUGAGCUAAUUCCUUAAAAUAAAUAAAUCUCUGUGUGUGUA